ACGCUAGCGGGAGGCCUAACACAUGCAAGCCGAGCGGUAGAGAUUCUUCGGAAUCUUGAGAGCGGCGUACGGGUGCGGAACACGUGUGCAACCUGCCUUUAUCAGGGAGAUAGCCUUUCGAAAGGAAGAUUAAUAUCCCAUAAUAUUUUGAGUGGCAUCACUUAAAAUUGAAAGCUCCGGCGGAUAGAGAUGGGCACGCGCAAGAUUAGAUAGUUGGCGGGGUAACGGCCCACCAAGUCAAUGAUCUUUAGGGGGCCUGAGAGGGUGAUCCCCCACACUGGUACUGAGACACGGACCAGACUCCUACGGGAGGCAGCAGUGAGGAAUAUUGGACAAUGGGUGAGAGCCUGAUCCAGCCAUCCCGCGUGAAGGACGACGGCCCUAUGGGUUGUAAACUUCUUUUGUAUAGGGAUAAACCUACCCUCGUGAGGGUAGCUGAAGGUACUAUACGAAUAAGCACCGGCUAACUCCGUGCCAGCAGCCGCGGUAAUACGGAGGGUGCAAGUGUUAUCCGGAUUUAUUGGGUUUAAAGGGUCCGUAGGCGGACUCGUAAGUCAGUGGUGAAAUCUCAUAGCUUAACUAUGAAACUGCCAUUGAUACUGCGGGUCUUGAGUAAGGUAGAGGUAGCUGGAAUAAGUAGUGUAGCGGUGAAAUGCAUAGAUAUUACUUAGACACACCAAUUGCGAAGGCAGGUUACCAUGUCUUAGCUGACGCUGAUGGACGAAAGCGUGGGGAGCGAAC
This 741-nucleotide ribosomal RNA is filed under the name uncultured bacterium. RNAcentral describes it as "bacterial SSU rRNA". It matches the Rfam family "Bacterial small subunit ribosomal RNA", at positions 33 to 773 of the family's 1533-position model. The record is from RNAcentral.